Long non-coding RNA from Hydra vulgaris (swiftwater hydra), 639 nucleotides. RefSeq lists it as uncharacterized. Lineage: Eukaryota; Metazoa; Cnidaria; Hydrozoa; Anthoathecata; Hydridae. The record is from RefSeq and is a predicted model, not a curated record.
UAUUUUUUUACAUAUAUAAUUAUUUUUCCCUCGUUUUUCAAAUUGUAAUUUAUAUAUAUGUAUAUUUUUAUAUGUAACGUUUAUGUAAAAAAAAAUUUAUUGAGCUUGGAGAUAAGACCAAAUGUGUUUACUUGUGUUUAUGUUGCUCCAGCUUUUUAUUUUAAAAGCAAGAUAUACUUGUGUCGUAAUUUUUAUAUAUGCAUGUUGUAAUUUAAUAUAUGGAUUGUUUAUAUUCUUUAACGGCAAAUAAAGAAUAAGAAUAAAAAAUGAAACAAUACUGCAAUUUUAUUCACCAAAAGGAUCUCUCUUACAUAGUUGUUUUGGAUUUAUCGAUGGUACAGAUUGAGGAGUUGCUAAACCAUUAGGAGUUAGCUAUAAUGGAGAUAAGAAAAAAAAAGCCUGCUCCACUUACCUAGUUAGGAAACAAGAUUAUGAGUCAGAAGGGCCAUUCACAACGGGAUAUGAGCUUUAUUAAAAAUAUUUUUUGCGGCAUCACAUAAAUGUUUUUUUAUGGCAUCAUAAGCACGGUAAAGACACUGUAUUUUUUAUAAUACGUUAAAGUGAUGUUUGCUGUCGAAAUUGAAACAUUCAGGUUUUAUCGAUCAAAGAUUAUUAUUUAAAAAAAAAUAGUAUAAUGUA